This 450-nucleotide ribosomal RNA is filed under the name uncultured bacterium. Its description in RNAcentral is "partial 16S ribosomal RNA". It matches the Rfam family "Bacterial small subunit ribosomal RNA", at positions 338 to 795 of the family's 1533-position model. The record is from RNAcentral.
CCUACGGGGGGCAGCAGUGGGGAAUUUUGGACAAUGGGGGCAACCCUGAUCCAGCCAUGCCGCGUGCGGGAAGAAGGCCUUCGGGUUGUAAACCGCUUUUGUCAGGAGAGAAAUCUCUUGGGCUAAUACCCUGAGAGGAUGACGGUACCUGAAGACUAAGCACCGGCUCACUACGUGCCAGCAGCCGCGGUAAUACGUAUGGUGCAUGCGUUAAUCGGAGUUAGUGCGGGUGGUUCUUGAAGACAGGUGUGAAAUCCCCGGGCUUAACCUGGGAACUGCACUUGUGACUGAACGGCUAGAGUACGGCAGAGGGGGAUGGAAUUCCGCGUGUAGCAGUGAAAUGCGUAGAUAUGCGGAGGAACACCGAUGGCGAAGGCAGUCCCCUGGGCCUGUACUGACGCUCAUGCACGAAAGCGUGGGGAGCAAACAGGAUUAGAUACCCGAGUAGUC